RNAcentral lists this ribosomal RNA (520 nucleotides) under uncultured Glomus. Its description in RNAcentral is "SSU rRNA". It matches the Rfam family "Eukaryotic small subunit ribosomal RNA", at positions 569 to 1085 of the family's 1831-position model. The record is from RNAcentral. Lineage: Eukaryota; Fungi; Glomeromycota; Glomeromycetes; Glomerales; Glomeraceae.
CGCAGCCGCGGUAAUUCCAGCUCCAAUAGCGUAUAUUAAAGUUGCUGCAGUUAAAAAGCUCGUAGUUGAAUUUCGGGAUCAAUAUGUUGGUCGUGCCUCGGUACGUACUGGCUUAGUGGUUUCUCCCUUCUGACGAACCAUGAUGUCAUUUAUUUGGUGUUAUGGGGAAUCAGAACUGUUACUUUGAAAAAUUUAGAGUGUUUAAAAGCAGGCUCACGCUUGAAUACAUUAGCAUGGAAUAAUGAAAUAGGACGUUUUGAUUCUAUUUUGUUGGUUUCUAGGAUCGACGUAAUGAUUAAUAGGGAUAGUUGGGGGCAUUAGUAUUCAAUUGUCAGAGGUGAAAUUCUUGGAUUUAUUGAAGACUAACUACUGCGAAAAGCAUUUGCCAAGGAUGUUUUCAUUAAUCAAGAACGAAAGUUAGGGGGAUCGAAGACGAUCAGAUACCGUCGUAGUCUUAACCAUAAACUAUGCCGACUAGGGAUCGGAUGAUGUUGUAUUUUUUAAUGACUUCAAUUCGGUA